GCGGGGUAGCUCAGCUGGUCAGAGCGCACGACUCAUAAUCGUGAGGUCGCGGGUUCAAGCCCCGCUCCCG
RNAcentral lists this transfer RNA (70 nucleotides) under bovine gut metagenome. It matches the Rfam family "tRNA". From Rfam's summary of the family: Transfer RNA (tRNA) molecules are approximately 80 nucleotides in length. The record is from RNAcentral.